Long non-coding RNA from Lagenorhynchus albirostris (white-beaked dolphin), 615 nucleotides. RefSeq lists it as uncharacterized. The transcript has 3 exons. NCBI's taxonomy places the organism in Eukaryota, Metazoa, Chordata, Mammalia, Artiodactyla, Delphinidae. The record is from RefSeq and is a predicted model, not a curated record.
UGCCCGGGACCGCCGACCAGGUCCGCGCCUGCCUCCUCUGCCGCGGCUCUGCCCCGGCAGGGGAGACGAGGAGGGCAGGAUGGGUGGGGGCCGGCGAGCUGCGCCUUCGUCUUCCCGCCCCCUCCUCGCCGUCUGGCCACAUCCCGCCAGCUCACGGGGCGAACUUGGAAGAAAAAGAAGCAGAACCAGAGGGUUAAAAUGACAAGCCCAAGAUAACAAAACUGGCUAAUGGCAGAUUUUGGAAGCAUGUGCUAGUGGCAGACAACCACGCUUUCUUUGCUGCUCCUCGCAUCAAGCAGUGGAGUUGAUUUCUCCAUCUGCUUUUAUCUGGACUGGACCUGUGAGCUGCUUGGACAGAGAGAAUGUGGUAGAAGUGACUGUGCAGGCUCUGACCCCGGGUCUCAAGACCUGGAGGCUUCUGUUCCUGCUUUCUGGGAGCCCUGCUGCCAUGUGAACAAGCCCGAGCUAGCCUCCUGGAGAAUGGGCCACACGUGGAGCAGAGACAGACAGUCCAGGUGAGGCCCUCGUGGACCAACCAGCUCACUAGCGGCCAGAGAGGCCGUCCUUGACUUUCCAACCCCAGAUCAGCCACCAACUCACUGCAGAGGUCAGACA